This 406-nucleotide ribosomal RNA is filed under the name uncultured bacterium. RNAcentral's name for it is "partial 16S ribosomal RNA". It matches the Rfam family "Bacterial small subunit ribosomal RNA", at positions 29 to 526 of the family's 1533-position model. The record is from RNAcentral.
AUUGAACGCUGGCGGCAGGCCUAACACAUGCAAGUCGAACGAGUGGCGGACGGGUGAGUAAUGUCUGGGAAACUGCCUGAUGGAGGGGGAUAACUACUGGAAACGGUAGCUAAUACCGCAUACCAUCGGAUGUGCCCAAAUGGGAUUAGCGAGUGGGUGGGGUAAAGGCUCACCAAGGCGACGAUCCCUAGCUGGUCUGAGAGGAGGACCAGCAACACUGGGACUGAGACACGGUCCAGACUCCUACGGGAGGCAGCAGUGGGGAAUUGUGCACAAUGGGCGAAAGCCUGAUGCAGCCAUGCCGCGUGUAUGAAGAAGGCCUUCGGGUUGUAAAGUACUUUCAGCGGGGAGGCGUUACCCGCAGAAGAAGCACCGGCUAACUCCGUGCCAGCCGCCGCGGUAAUAC